This 253-nucleotide ribosomal RNA is filed under the name uncultured bacterium. Its description in RNAcentral is "partial 16S ribosomal RNA". It matches the Rfam family "Bacterial small subunit ribosomal RNA", at positions 524 to 776 of the family's 1533-position model. The record is from RNAcentral.
GCCAGAGGUGCCGAGCGUUAGGCGGAAUCACUGGGCUUAAAGCGUGUGUAGGCGGAUCCGUAAGUACCUUGUGAAAUCCCACGGCUCAACCGUGGAACUGCUUGGUAUACUGCGGGUCUUGAGCCACCUAGGGGCGAGCGGAACAAGUGGUGGAGCGGUGAAAUGCGUAGAUAUCACGUGGAACGCCAAUGGUGAAAACAGCUCGCUGGGGGUGUGCUGACGCUGAGACACGAAAGCCAGGGGAGCAAACGGG